ACCCAAACACCUAUAAUUAUUUAAGAAUUUUCAUAUUUCAUAUCAAAAAAAUGGUUGGGCAUAGUAAAAAGUUGUUCCACACCUCUACAUUGAUAAGGGAAGAAGCAUCCUUUGCUUCUUCUUCCGGGCUGCUGUAACUUGCUUUGCAAUUGUCACGCAUAAAAGCAAUAGCAAGCUAACACAUACUAAGAUAAAUGCAAGCUUUAGAUGCUUGAAAUACAGUGAAACCGCAGAGAAAACCAGGAGUGCCAAAAUAACCAGUUCAAAUAUUACAAAGAUGACGACAUCUGCCCUGCAUCAAAGCAAAAAAAAAGGAAAUAAGAAAAAGAAGGCUCAGAACAGAACAAAUAGUACAUAGAUAAUAGAUAAUAGAAACCACUGACAAAAUAUUUGAGUUGCUAUAAAUUUAAGCAGUAAACUAUUGAGAAAAGGGCAAAAUCAAGUACCAUGCUACCAGUUAUUUCACAAAAGUAAGUUGCAAAAGAAAUUGCCCAAAAAGAUUUAAACAGCUCUCAAGCCCAAAGAUGCAGUUCAUUCAUUCUUCAUCAAUGUCCACCCUCAAUGAGGUUUAGGAUGAUCAUUUAUCCAUUCUACCAUUUGCAACCUCCCCAUGGGUUGAUGGUUGUGAUUCUUUCAAGAAAAUUAUGAUAGGAAUAACAAAUAGGAUGAUUUAGGUGACUAGAGGUAAGAGAAUCAAGAAAAUGAUAGAUUCGGUUUUCAGAUCCCCCUACUACUUAAAAUGCAAGAACAAGAGCUUUUGCAGAUAAGACUAUCAGCUCUAGAGCCCCAAGAGAGUGAACGGAAUUGCAUUGUUACAACUGGGAACACUAAACAAUGACAAAUAUUCAUCAAGCGAGUGCACCAUGAGUAAGGAAUCAGGGAAAACAUUAAUUAUGGCUGCAGAAUAAGGUACUCAAUUAGCUUUGAGAACUUCUCAUUAGCCUUCCUAGUCUGGUUACUUCAUGUGCCUUGGUUUUAAUUAUUUAGCUUGCUUGCAUAUAACAAGUUCGAACUUGAAAGAUUCAACAUUGGAACUCUAUGGGUUCGGAUGUAGCUGAUGCGGAGGGUUCAUAACAAAAGCUUUGGACAAAAUGGACACUGAAGAAGGGAAGAUACAUCGCACAUAUAUAUAUUCUCUAUAUUCUUGAAGCAAAAAUCGCACCUGGUACCUACUUGCAAAGAUGAAAGGACAACCUUUACCCUGAGAGAUAUAAAGAUUCAGCUGUAAGAGGUCGUCCGGUUUGAAGACAAGUUAUGUUCGGAUUAGUUAUGCUAGGAUUAAUAUUAUUUUUUAUUGGAUGUUUGGUAUGUUGUAUUACUCCUGGGAUUGUCAAUUCUAUUUAUUUAUCAUGGGAUAACUUAUUAUGAGAUUACAUUUCCAUCCUCUGACAGGUAUAAGUUAUCAGGGUACUAUUUUUUAUUCUUGGAUUAAUAACCAAACAAAGGAUAAGAUGGUACUAAAUUUUUAUCCCAGGAUUAUUUUUGCUUAUCCAUCAUACCAAUCGACCCUAAGUGUCUUGCAGUUCGGGAUUUCACCUUCCCCGUUGUACUGACCACGCAAUAAUUAACCCGGUCUAAACCUCUACUAGGUUCAGAGAAGUGAGGGGAAAAGGCAGAGUAAGAAUUAAUGAUUCCAACGUCUCAUUUCGAGCUAACAUAUAAAGUCUACAUAUAAUAAUCAAUCGAUUCAUCUGUUAGCAAGAAUUACGAAUUCCUACGUCUCAUUUCAAGCUAACCUAUAAAGUCUGCAUGUAAAAUUCAAUCACACAAUCUAUUCACAACAAAUGUCAAAAAAAAUGACUAACUAAGCUGAAACUUGUCAACAUAAGCAUUUCUAAAUCAAUAUAUAGCUAGAUGAAACUUUUCCCACCAAAAAGUUCUUUCCACUAUAUUUAACAAAAAAAAACACAUUAUGCCUCUCAUCCAAAGUUUUCAACUUUAAUCAUACAGCCAUGCAAUGCAAAGAAAUACUUCAAUAAAUCAACCAAAACUUUGACAAACAUAAAAAUUUCUAAUUAAACCAAAAACUCAAAUUUUCGGAAACUACUGUUGGUCUAAUAACAGGAACAACCCCAAAAUCAUAAACUUUCCCAAACCAAAUCCUAAUUUAGCAAAAUGUGUAUACACAUACACGUAAAUUAGAUUGUGCGCCACUGAUAUCCAAAAAUAUUACUCAAUUUCGAUGAUAGCGGGAAAUGAAUUGAAAAAGAAAAGCUGUAAUCGGAAAUGAAGAGAAGAAGAUAGAAAUACUAAUCGAAUACCUGGUAGAUGUGAUGUUAGAGGUGGA
RNAcentral lists this long non-coding RNA (2287 nucleotides) under Nicotiana benthamiana. RNAcentral's name for it is "long non-coding RNA (NBEN_LNC040737)". Lineage: Eukaryota; Viridiplantae; Streptophyta; Magnoliopsida; Solanales; Solanaceae. The record is from RNAcentral.